Molecule: unclassified non-coding RNA, 544 nt
Filed under: plant metagenome
Description: partial contains 5.8S ribosomal RNA, internal transcribed spacer 2, and large subunit ribosomal RNA
Rfam family: 5.8S ribosomal RNA (bases 1-109)
Source: RNAcentral
GAACUGCGAAACGUGAUGUGACCUGCACUCUUCGUGAAUCAUCCAAUCUUUGAACGCAUUUUGCACCUGGUGACUGUUGUGGUCACCAGGUAUACUUGUUUGAGUAUCGUCCAAUCUCUCCAACCCUCUUCGGGGGUGUUUGGCACAUGAGAGGUUCGACCAUUUAUGUAGUGAAUGUGAAUUGUGUGUGUGGUGGUUGAAAUAUACCUCUUCCACAAGACAUGCUAUGCAUGACAACAUAAUAUCACUCUUCUCUACAGGUCGUCUCUUGAAAGAUAGGCCGCAUGGUGGGUCUUGAGCACACGUGUCUGUGUGUGGUAGUUGUUAUCUACCAUGUAGAUAAUCAUCCACACAUCAGAUGGGUGGCUAUUGGGAUAACAUCCUAACAAUAGCUAUAGUUCUUGACCGACCGGUCAUCCGAUUGUAACAUCAUGAGUGAUCAUCAAGAUUACUGGUGGUGAAUCUCAAUCAACGAAGCAACAAGCAAUUGUUGGUUCAUAUUAAAGGAUCUCAAAUCAAGUAAGGAUACCCGCUGAACUUAAGC